Molecule: ribosomal RNA, 253 nt
Filed under: uncultured bacterium
Lineage: Bacteria
Description: partial 16S ribosomal RNA
Rfam family: Bacterial small subunit ribosomal RNA
Source: RNAcentral
UACGGAGGGGACUAGCGUUGUUCGGAAUUACUGGGCGUAAAGCGCACGUAGGCGGAUUUGUAAGUCAGGGGUGAAAUCCCGGGGCUCAACCUCGGAACUGCCUUUGAUACUGCAAAUCUCGAGUCCGGAAGAGGUGAGUGGAAUUCCUAGUGUAGAGGUGAAAUUCGUAGAUAUUAGGAAGAACACCGGUGGCGAAGGCGGCUGCCUGGACCGAUACUGACGCUGAGACGCGAAAGCGUGGGGAGCAAACAGG